Vigna unguiculata (cowpea) is the source of this 574-nucleotide long non-coding RNA. RefSeq lists it as uncharacterized. The record is from RefSeq and is a predicted model, not a curated record. Lineage: Eukaryota; Viridiplantae; Streptophyta; Magnoliopsida; Fabales; Fabaceae.
AGUGAUGUUGAUGCUGGAAUAUGUUGUUACCGUUUCAAUUGUGCUAUUAUUAAAUGGUAAUAUUUAUAGUUUUGUUUGUUUCUAAAAUCCAAUUUUUUAAUAUGUUGUUCUUGACUUUUUGGGCACUUCUUUUUCUUCUUCCUCAAGGACGUUUGCCACUACUAUUUUUAAAGUUGGAUAAGAAGAACUAAUAAGCCAGUCUAAUAAAAAUAACAAAGAAGAGGUUUUGAACCCAGAAAAAGAAAUAUUGUGAAACAAAAGUUACCCAAAAACAUGUAAGUUUCUAUUCUCAAUCUUAAGCUUUUACUCUCAAUCUUUAGUCCAAGUAUUUCUUCGACAUUAUACCAUAAUAAUGGCAAUGCUUCAGUUUUCUAUGUUACCUUUCUAAUUCUUCAUUUUCUUUCUCAUCUUCUUUUCUUUGGUGGGUUCUAUAAAACAACACUGUGUAAAUUAAGAUCGAAAGGGCCAAUUUGUAGUUAAGGGUAAAUACUUCCCUAUGACCAUCAAGAGGUAAAGUUUUUUCAUCCUGAAAGUAAUAGUUUACAUAUACAUUAUACUUUUUGGUAUUUUCUAA